ACGAAGUAAUUAAAUAUUUCUCGUAUAAUAGCAGGGAUAUGGCCUGCAAGUUUCUACCGGAUUACCUUAAAUAAUCUGACUACGAGUGAUUGGGAUAGCUAU
Molecule: non-coding RNA, 102 nt
Filed under: Anaerobacillus alkalilacustris
Lineage: Bacteria; Bacillati; Bacillota; Bacilli; Caryophanales; Bacillaceae
Description: Guanine sequence
Rfam family: Purine riboswitch aptamer
About the family: Riboswitches are metabolite binding domains within certain messenger RNAs that serve as precision sensors for their corresponding targets.
Source: RNAcentral